GGAGAGGUGCCGGAGUGGCCGAUCGGGGCACCCUGCUAAGGUGUUGUACCUUAUGGUACCGAGGGUUCGAAUCCCUCCCUCUCCG
Molecule: non-coding RNA, 85 nt
Organism: Spirochaetes bacterium GWF1_51_8
Lineage: Bacteria; Pseudomonadati; Spirochaetota
Source: Rfam